Non-coding RNA from Triticum aestivum (bread wheat), 115 nucleotides. NCBI's taxonomy places the organism in Eukaryota, Viridiplantae, Streptophyta, Magnoliopsida, Poales, Poaceae. The record is from Rfam.
CUACUACUCCCUCCGUUCUGAAUUAUUUGUCUCAUAAAUGGAUGUAUCUGAAACAAAGAUAUGCCUAGAUACAUUCAUUUAUGCGACAAGUAAUUUCGAACGGAGGGAGUAUGUG